Molecule: transfer RNA, 77 nt
Filed under: Caerostris extrusa
Lineage: Eukaryota; Metazoa; Arthropoda; Arachnida; Araneae; Araneidae
Description: tRNA-Thr
Rfam family: tRNA
About the family: Transfer RNA (tRNA) molecules are approximately 80 nucleotides in length.
Source: RNAcentral
GCCAUCAUAGCCAGCUCAGUGGUUAGAGCACUGGUCUCGUAAACCAGGGGUCGUGAGUUCGACUCUCACUGAUGGCU